This is a long non-coding RNA of Gallus gallus (chicken), 2915 nucleotides long. The record is from Ensembl. Lineage: Eukaryota; Metazoa; Chordata; Aves; Galliformes; Phasianidae.
GCACAUUAAGGAUGGUUGCUAGACAUCAUAUAAUAUUGUUCAUACUUAAGAUAAUAUAUCAGUAGACUUGUGUCUUUUGGGAAGGAAGACUUAGGUACAAACGUGGUGACUACCAUUCUGCUCUUGUCAGAAGCUAAAGAGAAGAUUACCAAAAACCUCUAAAGAAGUUGAAUUUAUAAUCUUAAAAGCAUUAGGAAACUCACAUGCCAUCUCAGAGACUCUAAGCAUGCCUGGAAGGCCAACAGUAUCCUGGUCUGCAUCAAAAGAGAAGAGACAGCAGGAAGAGGGAGGUGAUUGUCCUCUCCUCUGCCCUCAAGAGCCCCCAUCUGAACUGCUGCAUUCAAGCUUGGGACCGCGAGCACAAGAAGGAUGCAAAACUGUUGAAGUGAGUCCAGAGGAGGCCAUGAAGAUGCUCAGAGGCUGGAGCACCUCACCUACUAAGACAGUCUGAGGAAGCUGGUGUUAUCUAUCCUGGAGAAAAGAAGAGUUUAAGGAGGCUUUAUUGUGGCAUUCCAGUACCUAAAGAGGCCUACAGAAAAGAUGGAGAGGGACUCCGUCAGGUGGUAGCAGAAAGGCUAAUGAUUCUUAACUAGAAGAGUGUAGAUUUAUACCAGAUAUUAGGAAGAAAUUCUUAAGGAAUUCUCCUUUAAGCGAUAGUAAACUAUUAAGUGUAAGCUAUUUAAAUCAGCUAACAUCUGAUGAGCAUCAUCUGAUUGAUUUAGUCUUACAGAUAAAUUUCAGUACAGCUAAUGAAUUAGCCUUUACUGAAGUAUGGAGGAACUCUAUGUUUACUGAUGAGCUGAGUCCAAUAAUUCUAAACAAAUUACAGUGUAUCAAAUGCUUACAGAAAAUUCAUCACAGUAUAGUAUAUGUAUAGUACAUUAAAAAGUUCGUUCCUUGGUGACUUUUACUAAAUAUAUUUCUCAUUUAGUUUAGAAAAGUGAAAUCUAUAUAGAAAAAUCUACAUAGAAAAAUUAUUACAAACAUUUUUCAUAUAAUUACCAUGAAAAUUAUUUACAACUUGAGUUACGGUUGCAAACAAGGGGAUCUGUCAGGAUUUCAGAGUGCUGGACAACAGAUGAACAACCAAAAUGCAGUCUCAGUCCCGAAGAGAUUACUAAUGAAUAACAUAAAACAUAAAAACAUUCUCAUCAGUCACCAUUAGAUUUAGGAAUUAUUGUUAAUAUGCAACAGAUGCUUCUAUUAAUCUAAAUUACAGCCAAUUUUCUAUGUGGAAAAGCCAUCACUAGGAUUGUUUCUACUGUCAGUAAUGAUAAUACUUUCAUAGCAGUUUUGAGCCUAAAAGUGCUUUACAAACAUUAGGUAACAAGCUUCCUAACACCUCAUAAAAUUAAUUUUAGGCAGGUGAAUGCAUGUUUCACUCAUUAUUUAAAAAAAUAAAAAGACAGGCACUUAUGGGUUCAUGUAGGAAGAAGGCAUUACUAGAAAUUACAAUCAAAUAUCAUGACUCUUAAGCUAUACUUCAACUGUUAUCUCCUGCCUCAGAAGUACAGGACACCAAUGUGCAUUCCCUUGUGCAUCCCUUCAUCUACUUUUUUAGUAAUAUCUUGCUUUCUGAGAAAAAGCUGGUGUGUCAGAAGGCUUUUCUUUUUUUUGGUUUUGGAUGUGGUUUUGCUUUUCUCACAUAUGUAACUUAGUCUAGCAAGGCCUAUUAUCUCUUCUUAUAAAUGCGACUUAAUGCAGUGGCACUUUGUGGCUCUUUCAUAAAAGAAAGUUGGUCUGUGUGCCCACAUAGAAGGAUAAAAUAGCAAUGUGUGUAGACAGAUGUAACAAACAAAAAUCGAAGUUCAGUCGUAGACACCAUUUCAUCAGGCCUGUUAAAAUACCUGGCUUAUACUGCAUGAGAUGCAGGAAAAGGAAUGGCAGAAUUAUUUACAACUGAAAUCAUGAAACUGAACCCAUAAAACCUGUUCAAUUUCUACACAUGGAGGAAAAAAAAGAAAAAAAAAAAAAAAGUAAUUUGGUAGAAAGAACAAAGGGACAGAUCACCAAAUAAGUUUUCUAUUACUCACAAACUGUAUCAUUCAGAUGAAUAUCAGCCAUUUCUAUACGUCGUUUUGGAAUGAUCCUCUCUGCAAUCCUGCCAUGCCCUGACAUAAUAUAACAAAGUUUCCCCUGCAGGGAAAUCCUGUUCCUUUUCAGUUUUGCUUGAGACCUUUUGAUGUUUCCAAAGUCCAUGUGCUAUUUGAUUCAUAAAAACAGAUGUGGUUUGGGACCUUACAAUAAAGGCCAGGUUUUUACCUGCCAAGAGUAUGUUUUAAAAGCUAACAUAUAUGACCCAGAUCCUCAGUUGCUGUGGACUGAAGUAGUUUCAUUAGUUUCAUUCACACAUCAAGAUGAACUUCUUCUAUAAAACAAGAUGAAUAGAUCACAAACAUGGGCAGAGUAUCCUUAAGCUUUUUAUGAUGAGACUCGGUUGGCCAAGGUCUUGAGGAGGAUUUGUUACACCUUUUCUUUUGAGUCACAAAAUGUUUAUCCAUCUCUAAAUCUACUACAGAAAUAUAAAAACUGUGACUUGUUGGCUUGGGCAAAUUAAAACACAGGUUUCGAAGAUGCUCAACUUCUCCCAAACCACCAAGUCCUUGAAGAUUUCCCCUCUGAUUUAGAGCCCAACAGCUUUCCUAGGUUUCAAAGAGUGGAUAAAAUUCAACAUAUUUCCCCUCAGACCAUAGAAAAUGCUUUCUUUCUACAUUGUUCCGGGCUCAGCUCAGGACUAUACUUCGCAGGGAGUCUUCCCUUGCUUUCUGGGGAUUCCUGUUAAUCUUCCAUGUGCUACAGUUUUUCUGUGUUUACACCUCUUGGGAUAUCUUAGGUUUUUCUUUUUUAAGUGCAUGGUAGCAUCUCAUAUACUAGAUGUAGGAUACUAAUUAAGUUUUAUUUUGGGCAUAAAAAAU